UUCCGGUUGAUCCCGCCGGACCCGACCGCUAUCGGGGUGAGGCUAAGCCAUGCGAGUCUGCGUCUUCAGCCAUGAGAAGACGCGGCGCACGGCUCAGUAUCAUGUGGUUAACCUACCCUCAGGACGGGGAUACCCUCGGGAAACUGAGGCUAAUCCCCGAUAGAUGAGGGAUCCUGGAAUGGUUCCUCGUCCAAAAGGCACGCAUUUCAUGCUAUGCGUGUCGCCUGAGGAUGGGACCGCAUCCUAUCAGGUAGUUGGUGGGGUAACGGCCCACCAAGCCUAUAACGGGUACGGGCCCUGAGAGGGGGAGCCCGGAGAUGGGUACUGAGACAAGGACCCAGGCCCUACGGGGCGCAGCAGGCGCGAAACCUCCGCAAUGCGCGAAAGCGCGACGGGGCCACCCCGAGUGCCAUCCGCUGAGGGUGGCUUUUCCCUAGUGUAGUAAGCUAGGGGAAUAAGCGGGGGGCAAGUCUGGUGUCAGCCGCCGCGGUAAUACCAGCUCCGCGAGUGGUCGGGACGAUUAUUGGGCCUAAAGCGUCCGUAGCCGGCCUAACAAGUCUCUGGUUAAAUCUCAAGGCUCAACCUUGAGAUCGCUGGAGAUACUGUUAGGCUAGGGGGCGGGAGAGGUUGAGGGUACUUCGCGGGUAGGGGCGAAAUCCUAUAAUCCGCGAAGGACCACCAGUGGCGAAGGCGCUCAACUGGAACGCGCCCGACGGUGAGGGACGAAAGCUAGGGGAGCAAAGGGGAUUAGAUACCCCCGUAGUCCUAGCCGUAAACGAUGCGGGCUAGGUGUUGGGUUGGCUUCGUGCCAACCCAGUGCCGCAGCGAAGCGAUAAGCCCGCCGCCUGGGAAAGUACGGCCGCAAGGCUGAAACUUAAAGGAAUUGGGCGGGGGAGCACCACAAGGGUGAAGCCUGCGGUUUAAUU
This 926-nucleotide ribosomal RNA is filed under the name uncultured Thermoprotei archaeon. Its description in RNAcentral is "bacterial SSU rRNA". It matches the Rfam family "Archaeal small subunit ribosomal RNA", at positions 1 to 907 of the family's 1478-position model. Lineage: Archaea; Thermoproteati; Thermoproteota; Thermoprotei. The record is from RNAcentral.